GGGUUGUGAGGUUAAGCGACUAAGCGUACACGGUGGAUGCCCUGGCAGUCAGAGGCGAUGAAGGGCGUGCUAAUCUGCGAUAAGCGCCGGUAAGGUGAUAUGAACCGUUAUAACCGGCGAUACCCGAAUGGGGAAACCCAGUGUGACUCGUCACACUAUCAUUAACUGAAUCCAUAGGUUAAUGAGGCGAACCGGGGGAACUGAAACAUCUAAGUACCCCGAGGAAAAGAAAUCAACCGAGAUUCCCCCAGUAGCGGCGAGCGAACGGGGAGGAGCCCAGAGCCUGAAUCAGCAUGUGUGUUAGUGGAAGCGUCUGGAAAGGCGCGCGAUACAGGGUGACAGCCCCGUACACAAAAGCGCAUGUGCUGUGAGCUCGAUGAGUAGGGCGGGACACGUGGUAUCCUGUCUGAAUAUGGGGGGACCAUCCUCCAAGGCUAAAUACUCCUGACUGACCGAUAGUGAACCAGUACCGUGAGGGAAAGGCGAAAAGAACCCCGGCGAGGGGAGUGAAAAAGAACCUGAAACCGUGUACGUACAAGCAGUGGGAGCCCCACCACCAAAGCAUUUGCUGUACCGCGUUGACGGAGCGAAGCGACGUCAAACCGAUAAAACAGCAGUGUAAAGUGAGCCGCAGGGCGCUUUGCGCGACAGCGCAAAGGCAGGCGGUUUCGCGUAGCGAAAGCGAAUGCUUUGGGGUGGGGUGACUGCGUACCUUUUGUAUAAUGGGUCAGCGACUUAUAUUCUGUAGCAAGGUUAACCGAAUAGGGGAGCCGGAGGGAAACCGAGUCUUAAUUGGGCGUUAAGUUGCAGGGUAUAGACCCGAAACCCGGUGAUCUAGCCAUGGGCAGGUUGAAGGUUGGGUAACACUAACUGGAGGACCGAACCGACUAAUGUUGAAAAAUUAGCGGAUGACCUGUGGCUGGGGGUGAAAGGCCAAUCAAACCGGGAGAUAGCUGGUUCUCCCCGAAAGCUAUUUAGGUAGCGCCUCGUGAAUUCAUCUCCGGGGGUAGAGCACUGUUUCGGCUAGGGGGCCAUCCCGGCUUACCAACCCGAUGCAAACUGCGAAUACCGGAGAAUGUUAUCACGGGAGACACACGGCGGGUGCUAACGUCCGUCGUGAAGAGGGAAACAACCCAGACCGCCAGCUAAGGUCCCAAAGUCAUGGUUAAGUGGGAAACGAUGUGGGAAGGCCCAGACAGCCAGGAUGUUGGCUUAGAAGCAGCCAUCAUUUAAAGAAAGCGUAAUAGCUCACUGGUCGAGUCGGCCUGCGCGGAAGAUGUAACGGGGCUAAACCAUGCACCGAAGCUGCGGCAGCGAACGUAUCACUUAAAGCGAUUCAGCGGGUUACGAUUGACGGAGCGAAGCGACGUCAAAGCGUAUACAAAGUCGAGUCGGUU
Molecule: ribosomal RNA, 1397 nt
Filed under: Salmonella enterica subsp. enterica serovar Enteritidis
Lineage: Bacteria; Pseudomonadati; Pseudomonadota; Gammaproteobacteria; Enterobacterales; Enterobacteriaceae
Description: partial 23S ribosomal RNA
Rfam family: Bacterial large subunit ribosomal RNA
Source: RNAcentral